UGAGGAGUAUUGGGCAAUGCCCGCAAGGGUGACCCAGCAACGCCGCGUGGAGGAUGAAUGUCGUAAGAUUGUAAACUCCUGUUAGAGGGGAAGAAUAGUACCGGUUGGACCGGUAUAUGACUGUACCCUCAGAGAAAGCCCCGGCUAACUACGUGCCAGCAGCCGCGGUAAUACGUAGGGGGCAAGCGUUGUCCGGAUUUACUGGGUGUAAAGGGCGCGCAGGCGGGAUAAAAAGUCAGUGGUGAAAUCCUACAGCUUAACUGUAGAACUGCCUCUGAUACUUUUAUUCUUGAGUUCGGGAGAGAGAGACGGAAUUCCAGGUGUAGUGGUUAAAUACGUAGAUAUCUGGAAGAACACCAGUUGCGAAGGCGGUCUCUUGGUCCGACACUGACGCUGAGGCGCGAAAGCGUGGGGAGCAAACA
RNAcentral lists this ribosomal RNA (422 nucleotides) under uncultured bacterium. RNAcentral describes it as "bacterial SSU rRNA". It matches the Rfam family "Bacterial small subunit ribosomal RNA", at positions 355 to 774 of the family's 1533-position model. The record is from RNAcentral.